GGAAACAGGGGUGGAGGUGGGGAGGUGAGAUGGAGGGGGCAAACGGGGUGUGGAAUGAGUGGGAGGAAAGCGCGGGUAGGCGUGGCGGAAAGGCGUGUGGGAAAGCCCUGGGCUCAACACAGGAAGUGCACUCGAAACUCCCGAGCUAGAGUCCGGGAGAGGAAGGCGGAAUUCGCGGUGUAGAGGUGAAAUUCGUAGAUAUCGAGAGGAACAUCGGUGGCGAAGGCGGCCUUCUGGACAGCGACUGACGCUGAGACGCGAAAGCGUGGGGAGCAAACAGGAUUAGAUACCCGAGUAGUC
This 300-nucleotide ribosomal RNA is filed under the name uncultured Halogranum sp. RNAcentral describes it as "bacterial SSU rRNA". The stretch from base 52 to 300 matches the Rfam family "Bacterial small subunit ribosomal RNA", at positions 547 to 795 of the family's 1533-position model. Lineage: Archaea; Methanobacteriati; Methanobacteriota; Halobacteria; Halobacteriales; Haloferacaceae. The record is from RNAcentral.